This 73-nucleotide transfer RNA is filed under the name Felis catus (domestic cat). It matches the Rfam family "tRNA". Rfam says of the family: Transfer RNA (tRNA) molecules are approximately 80 nucleotides in length. Their secondary structure includes four short double-helical elements and three loops (D, anti-codon, and T loops). The record is from Rfam by way of RNAcentral. Lineage: Eukaryota; Metazoa; Chordata; Mammalia; Carnivora; Felidae.
ACCUGGCUGGCUCAGUCGGAAGAGCAUAGGACUCUUGAUCCUGGGGUUGUGAGGUUGAGACCCAUGUUGGGCA